Long non-coding RNA from Fundulus heteroclitus (mummichog), 644 nucleotides. RefSeq lists it as uncharacterized. NCBI's taxonomy places the organism in Eukaryota, Metazoa, Chordata, Actinopteri, Cyprinodontiformes, Fundulidae. The record is from RefSeq and is a predicted model, not a curated record. The transcript is spliced from 3 exons.
AGGACAAACUACGUCGAUCUGGCCAGUGUUAGGAACCAAUCUGAGAACGAGGAAAUCAGUAAUCUCGUGAAUACAUAUUCAUGGAUCGGCUUGUACAGAGAGUCUUGGAGAUGGUCAGAUGGUCAGCGUCUGAGGAUGACUUCAUUCAGCAAAUGGGAUACAAGUCAGUCAGUAAACGUCGACAACUCCUGUGUGACUACAACAAGCAGCACAUGGUAUAAACGGCCCUGCUCCAGCACAUAUUCUUUCAUUUGUAUGGACUACCCUAAGACAAUACAGAGGAAGGUGGUGAAAAUAUUUGUGUCCAAAUCAAACUCGUCGUUGGACCUGGAAGCACUGCAGGACACCAUCUUGCUGCAGCUGAACAGCAGACUGCAAGAGAAUGGACUGGGAGAAGUCAAACUGAAAUGGAUGAAGCAGCCUGAUGGAAAGAUUUUCUCUGAAAAAAAGGAGACGAAAAAGAACAAACAGUAAAACGUGACAAUCAUUGGGGAAAAUGUCGUUCACUCAGAAAAAUGGAAGGGUAGUUUUUGUUUUGGGAUAUUUGCUUCAAUUACAAAUGAUCACAAAGGAUGAUUAUCCUAAAUGCUAGUGACCUUUACGUAUCUUGUGUUCCCAUUUCAGAUUAACUGAUUUUCUCAUGA